Temnothorax curvispinosus is the source of this 344-nucleotide long non-coding RNA. RefSeq lists it as uncharacterized. The record is from RefSeq and is a predicted model, not a curated record. The transcript has 2 exons. Lineage: Eukaryota; Metazoa; Arthropoda; Insecta; Hymenoptera; Formicidae.
CGUAUAUAAAACUAUAACAUCAGGAAUUAAAUCUUCGGCAACGUGUUUGCAACAUGGUGUACUUAAUAUUCCUGAUGAAAGUCAUUUAGUGAUGAAAUCAGCCGCUUAUUUGCUGCCUCACAUAUUAAAGAAAAUAAAAGAUCAAAGGAAAUUUCUAAUAGUGGGUUAUUCGUUUGGAUCCUUAAUUGCCAUUGAAUUAGCAAAGAUUAUUAGAAGCUAAAGAUUUCUCAGGACGGUUAAUAUUAAUAGACGAAACUCCCGAUCAAAUAAAAUUUUGGACUAAUCAAUAUUUGGACUGUACUUCGCCAGAUGAGUUACAAAAUGUGGUAUUACUUGGUUUAUUG